UACGUAGGUGGCGAGCGUUGUCCGGAAUCACUGGGCGUAAAGGGCGCGUAGGCGGCAAGUCAAGUCGCAUGUGAAAAACCAGGGCUCAACUCUGGGGGGUCAUGCGAAACUGAUUAGCUUGAGUGCAGUAGAGGGAAGCGGAAUUCCUGGUGUAGCGGUAAAAUGCGUAGAGAUCAGGAGGAACACCGGUGGCGAAGGCGGCUUUCUGGGCUGCAACUGACGCUGAAGCGCGAAAGCGUGGGGAG
RNAcentral lists this ribosomal RNA (245 nucleotides) under uncultured Eubacteriales bacterium. Its description in RNAcentral is "uncultured Clostridiales bacterium partial 16S ribosomal RNA". It matches the Rfam family "Bacterial small subunit ribosomal RNA", at positions 524 to 768 of the family's 1533-position model. The record is from RNAcentral. Lineage: Bacteria; Bacillati; Bacillota; Clostridia; Eubacteriales.